UUAAUCAAAUAGUAUUGAAAAAUUUGUGAGAUAUUCCACUUUUUUUAACCAGAAAAUGCAAAGGAAAUAAAACGAUAAACGCCGCUCGGUCCAAUUUAAAAAUGAAAUGAAAUUUCGAAAGCGAAUUGUUAACUUAUUUUUGUUUUCUAUGAUGCCUAAAAGUGACAAAUGAAAAGCGAAUGCAUUCAGUUGAGAUAAGACGGCUGGGAUGAAUGUGGGUGACUGGAAUAUAAUACAGAAUGAUUACCUAAAAUAAUCACAGAUGAGCAUCCAGAUUCUAAAUUAAUCUUUCUAUUGUCUACAUGUUUGUUAGUGAAGAGAAUUAGUAUAUUACCAAGUUUCAUUUGGAAGAAUUUACCGCCAAUGUACUUGAUUUUGGAAAUUCCAUUAUCAUUAAUCAUUCUCGAAUGUGCACUUCUCUACGUAUGGACGCCGCUCAAAGACUAUUUACUACUGCACUCGGAUGAUAUCCUGGUACAUUUGUACGAGGAUAUGAACCUUGAGAGGUUCAUAUGUCCCCUGUGUUGUGACAAAAGCGACUGCUCCUCCGCUUUUGCUGCCCUGGUAGUUAAAGUGAUGAGUUUCAUGCUAUUGUUAUCAAUAUGUUUUAUAACAAAACAGUAAUUGAUUUUUGUUAUAUUUUAUAGCAAUUUUGUUUGUUAAUAUAAUUUUAUUACCUGUCGAAAUACUUAAUUUACAUUAUACUUUAUUGUACACCACAAAGAAAGAAAAAGAAAACAAAACAUGGAUAAAUCCUAAAUAAAAGUAGCAUACAAUUUUGGCGCCCUUAUAGCUACAUAGCGAUUUCUUCCAGGCAACCAACGGUGUAAAUAAUAACUCAUAGGAUAUGAGGUAGGUGGUGCUGUAAUAAUAAAUGAAAUAAUAUUAAUCUAUAAUUAAUACGCAUAAUAUAUAUCAAUAAAUAAAUUAUAUUAUCAAUACAUAUAAAAUUACAAAUAUAUAAUAUAAAUAUAUACAAUAAGAACGAAUAGAAAACAAUAAGAAGUCCUCAACUAUAACAAAAAAGAAAAAAAAUGCAAAAUACAAAAAAUACUAAAAUAAAAUAAAUUAUUGGAGUUAAGGCAUUUGAGACAAAAAGUGAUCUUUUACAAGUUUUUUAAAAAUAUCUAUGGAUUUGGCCUCCCAAAUAUUUAAAGGAAUAACGUUCCAGAGCCUGAAUUGUAAAAGAAUUAUUAUAAAAAGAUGACUUGUGUUCGGGCACCCUUAAAAUCCAUAGUUUCAAAGAACGAAGAACUUCUCCAGGAAUCCCUAUAAAUAAAAAAGUUUCCUUCAAGUAAGGGGGAGGCACAACACACAGUACAGAAUAGACAGGAUGUGCAUAUCGAAAAACUUUGUUUUGAAUUACCUUAAUCUGAAUUAAUAAGACAUUUU
Nymphalis io (European peacock) is the source of this 1392-nucleotide long non-coding RNA. RefSeq lists it as uncharacterized. The transcript has 3 exons. The record is from RefSeq and is a predicted model, not a curated record. Lineage: Eukaryota; Metazoa; Arthropoda; Insecta; Lepidoptera; Nymphalidae.